UACGGAGGGAGCAAGCGUUACUCGGAAUUAUUGGGCGUAAAGGGCGCGUAGGCGAUUUGAAAAGUCUUGUGUGAAAGCCCCGAGCCUAACUCGGGAAGUGCACAAGAAACUGUUGAAUUUGAGUUCCGGAGAGGAAGGCAGAAUUCCCGGUGUAGCGGUGAAAUGCGUAGAUAUCGGGAGGAAUACCAGUGGCGAAGGCGGCCUUCUGGACGGAUACUGACGCUGAGGCGCGAAAGCCAGGGGAGCAAACGGG
This 253-nucleotide ribosomal RNA is filed under the name uncultured bacterium. RNAcentral's name for it is "partial 16S ribosomal RNA". It matches the Rfam family "Bacterial small subunit ribosomal RNA", at positions 524 to 776 of the family's 1533-position model. The record is from RNAcentral.